UUUGCAAGUUCAUUCUUAGGCUUCAUUGUGGUGACUGCUUCAACAAUCAUCUAUUUGUAUAGUUCCAUUAGUAGCUUCAACCUUGAAAACCACAGGUUACAUGGUCAAAAGCAAGUCCCACAAACCAAUACACAAAUUUCACAAUUACAAAUGACCCAUUUAGAAUAAUAAUAAUAAUAAAGUGAUAUUGAUGAUACCAAUUAGUGAUUUGUUUAUGAAACUGAGAGAUAGGCUCAUGUACAAAGAAGAUAAAAAAGUUUUAUAAUUAUUGAUGUCAACAAAUUAUGCUAAAAUGACUUCCAGUAUAAGCUGCGCAUAAGUUCUUACUGCUUACACAUCUGAAUUUGAUCGUAGGCUUUCACAGACAUAUGUUGCUUUAAUUUCAUUUUGCAAUUCUUCUAAUAAUUAAACAAAUAGAUCAAGCAAGUUAUGUCCUAUUUUAGAAUCUAUGAAUACCAUUUCUUAAAUCUCAAAUUAUUACAAUUUUUAAACUAAGAGAAUUCCAAGAUAAUUUCCAUUGCAGUAAGUUGGAGACAAUGAAGACUACAACAUAAUCAUAACUAAGAGAUUAUAGACAAUGAAUUUGAACUCACAUACAGUAGUUAGCAAAGAUUCCAAUUCAACAAAGGUCAAAAAUUGGAUUUGAUAAAGCAUGUCAAGCCAGAGAUAAAAUUUGCGUUCAGGACAUCUACAGGUAUAUAGUUAUUAAACUAUGCACAUUUUUAUGGAACAAAACUGCACAUAAGUAAGUUUACUCUCUCAAAGUUCAUCAGCUCCUUUGCAACUCCGAAAGUCCACUGUUUGAAGCACCUUCAACAAUAAGAAUGAAUUUAGCCUCCUGAGCCUUAAUAUAAACACAUGAGGCACGAUAAAAAGGUUGAUGCACCAAAAACUAUAGAGGGGCACUUUUACUAUGAAGUGGAACACUAUUGUCUACCGCACCAUUUUACUCUCUCCAUCGUAUAUAGAGGCUGAGACAAGGUUUUCAAAAUGUAGAAAAACUGAAAGAAAUUGGGUCUAAAAUUUGAUCACGCAAGAUAAUUAAGUACCUGAGGUCAUGGGCAUAUUCAACUAAUAAUUGUUCUUAAAGGGGCUAAAGGAUUUGCAACUAGUAAACAGUACACUACAAGCCCAGAAAGAGAUCACCUGCUCUGAAACAUUUCAAAAUGAUUACAAACAAAAUAAAUUCUAAAAAAAAACCAUGAGGCUAUGAACCAAAUUAGCAUAAAAAUUAAACAAAUUUAGAUGAAUUACACCUUAAAUUCCUAAAAUGAAUUAGAGCAAAGUAAAAUACCAAAACAAAAAUCUCAAUCACAAAUGCUAUUCAAAUAGUCAAAAACUGGAAAUGGAUUGUUAAGUGUAACUCGAGUAAAUGGGAACGAAUAUCUUUGAAAACAACACACAUCUUGAAGUAGCUGCAGUAUUGGAUUUGGACAUAACCAUCAAGCGCUUUUUUUUAGCCUUUGGGAGGGAGAGAAGCCGCUGCUAAAGGGGGUGGCGAUGGUGGUGGU
Molecule: unclassified non-coding RNA, 1511 nt
Filed under: Hevea brasiliensis (rubber tree)
Lineage: Eukaryota; Viridiplantae; Streptophyta; Magnoliopsida; Malpighiales; Euphorbiaceae
Source: RNAcentral